RNAcentral lists this ribosomal RNA (972 nucleotides) under Rhodosporidiobolus sp. RNAcentral describes it as "partial 28S ribosomal RNA". It matches the Rfam family "Eukaryotic large subunit ribosomal RNA", at positions 81 to 1071 of the family's 3401-position model. The record is from RNAcentral. Lineage: Eukaryota; Fungi; Basidiomycota; Microbotryomycetes; Sporidiobolales; Sporidiobolaceae.
UAGUAGCGGCGAGCGAAGCGGGAAGAGCUCAAAUUUAUAAUCUGGCACCUUCGGUGUCCGAGUUGUAAUCUCUAGAAGUGUUUUCCGCGUUGGACCGCACACAAGUCUGUUGGAAUACAGCGGCAUAGUGGUGAAACCCCCGUAUAUGGUGCGGACGCCCAGCGCUUUGUGAUACACUUUCAAUGAGUCGAGUUGUUUGGGAAUGCAGCUCAAAUUGGGUGGUAAAUUCCAUCUAAAGCUAAAUAUUGGCGAGAGACCGAUAGCGAACAAGUACCGUGAGGGAAAGAUGAAAAGCACUUUGGAAAGAGAGUUAACAGUACGUGAAAUUGUUGGAAGGGAAACGCUUGAAGUCAGACUUGCUUGCCGGAGCUUGCUUCGGUUUGCAGGCCAGCAUCAGUUUUUCGGGGUGGAUAAUGACGGUUUGAAGGUAGCAGUCUCGGCUGUGUUAUAGCUUUCCGUUGGAUACAUCCUGGGGGACUGAGGAACGCAGCGUGCUUUUUGCGAAAGACUCGUCUUUUUCACGCUUAGGAUGCUGGUGGAAUGGCUUUAAACGACCCGUCUUGAAACACGGACCAAGGAGUCUAACAUGCUCGCGAGUAUUUGGGUGUCAAACCCGGAUGCGCAAUGAAAGUGAAUGUAGGUGGGAACCGCAAGGUGCACCAUCGACCGAUCUGGAUUUUUUAAGAUGGAUUUGAGUAAGAGCGCGUAUGUUGGGACCCGAAAGAUGGUGAACUAUGCCUGAAUAGGGCGAAGCCAGAGGAAACUCUGGUGGAGGCUCGUAGCGGUUCUGACGUGCAAAUCGAUCGUCAAAUUUGGGUAUAGGGGCGAAAGACUAAUCGAACCAUCUAGUAGCUGGUUCCUGCCGAAGUUUCCCUCAGGAUAGCAGAAACUCACAUCAGUUCUAUGAGGUAAAGCGAAUGAUUAGAGGCCUUGGGGUUGAAACAACCUUAACCUAUUCUCAAACUUUAAAUA